UACGAAGGGGGCUAGCGUUGCUCGGAAUCACUGGGCGUAAAGGGUGCGUAGGCGGGUCUUUUAAGUCAGGGGUGAAAUCCUGGAGCUCAACUCCAGAACUGCCUUUGAUACUGAAGAUCUUGAGUUCGGGAGAGGUGAGUGGAACUGCGAGUGUAGAGGUGAAAUUCGUAGAUAUUCGCAAGAACACCAGUGGCGAAGGCGGCUCACUGGCCCGAUACUGACGCUGAGGCGCGAAAGCGUGGGGAGCAAACAGG
Molecule: ribosomal RNA, 254 nt
Filed under: uncultured bacterium
Lineage: Bacteria
Description: partial 16S ribosomal RNA
Rfam family: Bacterial small subunit ribosomal RNA
Source: RNAcentral